RNAcentral lists this long non-coding RNA (11768 nucleotides) under Prunus persica (peach). RNAcentral describes it as "long non-coding RNA (PPER_LNC006179)". Lineage: Eukaryota; Viridiplantae; Streptophyta; Magnoliopsida; Rosales; Rosaceae. The record is from RNAcentral.
CCAGGUUUUGGACUCAAUCCGAUAUCGAUUGGUCCUUGAAAUCGGACAAUUCAGGUUCGUACGAAGUUCGUUUUGAAAUGGGGUGGUUGGUGUAUUGUAUAGUUCUAGAGAUUGGAUUUCACUCAAAACCCACCAAAUGACUCCUCCCACAAUAUUAUGAUGUUCCCCCGGUUUUGGACUCAGUCCGAUACCGAUUGGUCCUUGAAAUCGGACAACUCAGGUUCGUACGAUGUUCGUUCAUAAAUGGGGUGGUUGGUGUAUUGUAUAGUUCUAGGGAUUUGAUUUCACUCAAAACCCACCAAAUGACUCCUCCCACAAUAUUAUGAUGUUCCCCAAGUCUAGGCAUUCUAGAAGAUGUUUUGGUGAAAGUGGAAGAGCUAAUUUUGCCAGCAGAUUUCUUGCUGUUGGAAAUAGAAGAAGCACCAAUUCGUGACAAUCAGUUGCCACUCAUUGUAGGUCGGCCAUUCAUGGCAACUGCCGGUGCUAUUAUUGAUGUGAAGAAGGGGACAUUGACCAUGAAUGUGUUUGAUGAGACAAUAGCAUUCAAAGUGUUUGAAGCCUCCAAGUUCCCAAGUGAUGAGCAUGAAGUUUUCCAUCUUGAUGCAAUUGAUACUAUGGUGAAAGAAGCACUGCCAAUGAGUUAUUUGGAGCCCAUUGAAGCAUGCAUCACACAAAGCAUAAGGAAAGAAGAAGUGGACAGCUUAGAGGCUGUGAUCUCUCCUUUACUUCUUGAGCUUGUUUGCAGCAUGGAUAGCUACAUAGGAAUUGGAAAAAGGUAUGCAAACCAAUUUGAAUCAUUACCCCCACCUACUAAUAAGGUUUUACCUUCUAUUGUGCAGGCACCAGAGUUGGAAUUAAAGCAAUUGCCAAAACACCUUAAAUAUGCUUAUUUAGGUGAAAAUGAGACUCUACCUGUUAUCAUUGCCUCACAUCUCGGACCAAAUGAUGAAAAGAAGCUUUUGAGAGUUCUAAAAGAGCACAAAACUGCAAUCGGGUGGAGCAUUGCAUCAAAGGCAUAAGCCCAACACUGUGCAUGCACAAGAUAUUAUUGGAAGACAAUGCAAUGCCUAAGAGGGAUGCCCAAAGACGUCUCAAUCCGAACACGAAGGAGGUGGUAAGGAAAGAGGUAAUUAAGCUUUUAAAUGUUGGUAUUAUUUACCCUAUUUCUGACAGUAAAUGGGUGAGCCCAGUGCAAGUUGUCCCCAAGAAGUCAGGUAUCACAGUGGUGAAGAAUGAAGCAAACGAACUUGUACCUACACGGAUGACCACGGGCUGGAGAGUUUGCAUUGAUUAUAGGAAGCUCAACACAGCGACAAGCAAAGAUCACUUUCCUCUUCCAUUCAUUGAUCAAAUGCUUGAGAGAUUAGCUGGGCAUAGCCACUAUUGCUUCCUUGAUGGAUAUUCAGGCUACAACCAAAUCGCCAUAGCCCCAGAGGAUCAAGAGAAGACGACCUUCACAUGUCCCUUUGGCACUUUCGCUUAUAGGAGGAUGUCUUUUGGUCUCUGUAACGCCCCAGCCACUUUUCAAAGGUGCAUGAUGAGCAUUUUCUCCGACAUGGUAGAAAGGUUCAUUGAGGUAUUCAUGGAUGACUUCUCUGUCUUUGGUGAUUCUUUUGAUCAAUGCUUGCAUAACUUAUCCAAGGUGUUGGCUAGAUGUGAACAUACUAACCUUGUGCUUAAUUGGAAAAAAUGUCAUUUUAUGGUUAACCAAGGCAUAGUUCUUGGUCAUGUCAUCUCUAGUAAAGGAAUUGAGGUAGAUAAAGCUAAGAUUGAUUUGAUUGCCUCUAUGCCCUCACCUACUUCUGUCAAAGAAGUACGUUCUUUCCUUGGCCAUGCAGGUUUCUAUAGGCGUUUCAUUAAGGAUUUUUCUAAGAUUACAAGGCCUAUGUGCAAUCUCCUUGCCAAGGACAUGGAUUUUGUGUUUGAUCAAGACUGUGAGAAUGCUUUCAAUGCUUUGAAGAAGAUGCUCACAACUGCCCCAAUCAUUAUACCACCGGAUUGGAGCUUGCCUUUUGAAUUGAUGUGUGAUGCCUCAGAUUAUGCUGUUGGAGCUGUUUUGGGACAGCGAGUUGAUAAGAAGCCACAUGCCAUCUACUAUGCUAGUAGAACCCUCAACGAUGCCCAACUCAACUAUUCCACCACAGAGAAGGAGUUGUUAGCUGUCAUAUUUGCUUUAGAGAAGUUCAGAUCAUAUUUGAUUACUAACAAGGUUAUUGUUUACACUGAUCAUGCAGCAUUGAAAUACUUGUUAGCUAAGAAGGAUGCCAAACCACAACUCAUUAGAUGGAUUCUCUUAUUGCAAGAGUUUGACUUGGAGAUAAAAGAUAAGAAAGGAAGUGAGAAUGUUGUGGCUGAUCACUUGAGUAGAUUGGUGCAUGUAUCUAACGAAGAGGAGGAUUCAUUGCCAUUGCGUGAAAGCUUCCCUGAUGAGCAACUCUUCUCCAUUUGUGCUUUCAAUUCUCUCAAUCCAUUGCCUUGGUUUGCUGAUAUUGCUAACUAUUUGUGCACUAAUGAACUCCCUACAGGGUUAUCUACGUUCCAACGUAACAAGCUUAGGAAGCAAGCAAGAUACUACUUUUGGGAUGAUCCAUAUCUAUUCAAGCAUUGUCCAGACCAAGUAAUUCGAAGGUGUGUGCCUGAAGGUGAUUUUAAGAGCAUUCUGGAGUUUUGUCACUCCCACGCAUGCGGAGGCCAUUUUGGACCAAAGAAGACUGCCAGCAAAGUGCUACAAUCAGGUUUCUUUUGGCCUACCCUUUUUAAGGAUGCUUAUGUUUUUUGUGCUUCAUGUGAUAGAUGCCAACGGAUGGGUAAUUUACAUGCUAGAAAUCAGAUGCCUCUCACCAAUAUCUUAAUCAUUGAUAUAUUUGAUGUUUGGGGAAUUGAUUUCAUGGGCCCUUUUCCUACCUCUUAUGGAUUUGAAUAUAUAUUAGUUGCUGUCGAUUAUGUUUCUAAAUGGGUGGAAGCCAUUGCCACUAGAACUAAUGAUGCUAAGGUUGUGAUCGGUUUUCUCAAAGGAAAUAUUUUUACAAGGUUUGGCACACCUAGAGCAAUCAUUAGUGAUGGUGGCUCCCACUUUGUUAACCAAGCUUUUGCAGCACUCUUGACGAAAUAUGGAAUCACGCAUAAAGUGGCAACACCCUAUCAUCCUCAAACUAGUGGGCAGGUUGAGAUAAGCAAUAGGGAGAUUAAGCACAUACUUGAAAAGACAGUGAACACCACAAGGAAGGAUUGGUCCAUGUGUUUGGAUGAUGCAUUGUGGGCUUAUAGGACUGCUUAUAAGACCCCUAUAGGUAUGUCUCCGUAUAGACUUGUUUUUGGUAAACCUUGUCACUUACCAGUGGAGCUUGAGCACAGGGCUUAUUGGGCAAUCAAGGCCCUGAAGUUUGAUAUGAAAGCUGCUGGUGAGAAGAGGAGGCUUCAACUCAAUGAGCUGGAGGAGUUGCGACAUGAAGCAUAUGAGAAUGCGAAGCUUUACAAGGAGAAAACAAAGCAAUAUCACGACAAGAAAAUUCUUAGGAAGACGUUUGAGAAAGGGCAGAAGGUUCUCUUAUUCAAUUCACGCCUUAAACCCAGGUAAGCUUCAUUCUCGGUGGAUUGGCACUUUUGUUAUUACUAAUGUGUUUAAUCAUAGCGCAGUGGAGAUUCAAAACAUUAAGGAUGGCAGCACCUUCAAGGUGAAUGGACAUCGGUUGAAACCUUACUUCGAUGCCAAUAUUGAGUCUCAAGCACUCAAGGAGCCUCCACCACUCUCUUAUAGCUCACCAGAGUUUGGAUGUCCGGCUGAAGAUGUGAAACUUUGCGCUUCUUGGGAGGCAACCCAAGGUGAUGAGGAGAAGAUAGAAUAUGUGAGGAAGCUUGGCUGCAUCCUAAUCGCUUCAAAGGGGAGUUUUUCUGAAAUCUAACCUUUGGUUAUGUCUUUCCUUUGUCUUCUUUCCUUUCAUUUAUGUGGCAUUGCUUUUUCUUACACUCUAAACAUUGAGGACAAUGUUUCAUUUAAGUUUGGGGGGAAGGAUUUAGUUAUGUUCUUUCAAAUUGUCAAAUUUUAUAAUUUUGAGUGUGUCUAAUGGCCAAAAACGCAGGAUUUUGUGUCUUGUUUCGUUAUCCUUCCAAACACCUAUGAUAAGACUUGGAUCUAAUACUAAUAUGGUUUCUCAUAAAUUGAUAGUCAUUGUUUAAGGACUUUGUGUGGUUCUGAGUUAACUCUGUCUUGCUUGCCAUCCUUGCACUUAUUGAGCACUUUGUCGAGUUAGUCCAAUUUCUUGCUACUUGGAGACGAUAUGCAAUUCUACUUAUCUCAGAUCUUGGUUUCGUACUCUAGAACUUAUUUGAAUAUCUCUUGAGACAUUUUGUUGCCAUACAAUGCUUAGGAAGUGAUUUAGGCCAUGUUUGAACCGUUUGAGCUUUUCUAACAAUCCCUCUACAUGUAUUCAUCCCUAGUCAACCCAUUUGAGCCUACGUUAAGCCUUUCUUUGUGUAAACCAUUCUUACCAUAAUGAACCUCUGUUUUCUUAUUCUUACUUAUUCUAUGAGCAAUUAAAGUUAUCUUCAAAAGAGAGUUAUAAAGAAUGCAAGGUUUUUGGAGCAAAAGUGAAUCAUUAGUGCCAUAACCCAAGUGUUGAAAAGAAAUAAAUUUGGGGGUAUUGGUAACUAAUCAAAAGAGGUAAUGAAGUGUGACCAAUGUAGUCACGGCCCUAUGGUGUUAUAAAAGAGAAGAUCAUGGUGAUCUAGGGUAAAGAGCCACAAAAUUAGGCCAAAGAAACAGAUAUGAAGGUGCUGAAAUUAUGUUGAAAAUGUGCUCAUGUAUGUGUUCCUUGCUUGUUACAAAGUUCAGUAAUCUCUUAUGCUCUUACCUGUGCUUUAAUUGUGCUCAAAAUAUUGUAUAUCUCAUAUCCCUUCUUUCAUUCAACCACUGCCCUAAACCUCAUUACUACCCUUGUAAAGUCCUUUUGAUCCUUGGUAUUGUAUGGUAUUACUGUGGAGAGCUGAUUUGAUAAUGAGCUUAUGGGGUUCGGAAUUCUUGAUUUUGCUCUAAGUGUGUGCGCAUGUACUUAUCUGAGUUGCAGGUGUUGUACUGAUUCGGAAUUCACACACUACACUUAAGGAUGUCAUUGUGAGCUUUGGUUACCCUUGAAUCAUAUGUGGAACUCAGAUUGUGAUUGUUGUGUUUCUUUGGGACCAUAUACGUCGGUGAUUCUUUGAGGAUAUUGUUUGGAAGGCUAGUUGCUUAUUUCCUAUUUCCUAAGUUGUAGUUUUAUUUUGUUUUGCUCGAGGACUAGCAAAAUCUAAGUUUGGGGGUAUUUGAUAAGCUCUUAAUUUCACACAUUUGCAUGCCUUCUUUCCUUAGUAAUUUUUCUUAGCUUCUCUUUAUUUUGAGUCUCUUACCUAUGUUUGUGUGCUUUGUAGGUUAAGACAGCAAGGGGAUGACAUUUGAUACAAUUCAUGCAUGUUAAGGGCUGAGUGGCACAAGAGGAAUAUGAGCUUAAAGACAAAACCAAUUUGUGCCACACUCCUUGUCAGUCCAGUUUCGUAGGUCAUCUUACAGGCCUCAUUUCAGUAACUUACACAGGUCGAAUGAGGAGACAUCCUUGAUAGAAGUUGUUCCAAUGGGUGUCUAUUAUAACAUAUCCACAUUUCAGCCCAAUUGGAUAAAUCUGGAGCCCUCAACAAGUCAAAGACUGAACCAAGUUGACAGAAAUGUCAUGUUGGCUGCCAUCACAUUUAAUGUGGCUACAUCCCUAGAGCCAUGUGCUACACAUGGGCAGCCAUACAUAGGAGUCAAAUCAGCUCAGAAGCUCAGAAAGAUGAACAAAAGUCAAGCUUUCCAUAAAGAAACCAUACCAAAGCAUGUAUUUGUCAGCUGGAGCAGUUGGCAAGUAUGGGCAGCUGGAGCAGUUGGGAGCAGCUAAGAGAGGUGUACUUCACCAGCCAAAGGGGAGCACGAAAUUUCACUCUAUAAAUAGAGAGUUGCACACUCAUUCAAGGGGGAGAGAGCAGACACACACAUUCACUUCAUCCAUUACUCUCAUACACACAUUCAGAUUCACCACAAAGAGAGAAGAGAGCUUGGAGCUGUCCUGGGAACUUCCUUGCUGCCAUCAUCUAGUUCUUCUCCUCUCUUUAUCCUAUCUAUGUAUUUCUUAUUUUCUGUAUUCAUAGUUAUGUCUAACUAAUCCAUUUAGUUAGGGCUUAGGAUGAAGCCCUAGUCAUGAAUAUUAAAUGUUAUGGAUGAUUUUAUGGUUAAUUGAUUUCCUUGCUUUUAUUAUCAAGUUGUUAAUCUCCAGUUUAUUAUGUGCUUGAUGUAUGUUUUCUUGGAGUAGCUAACUAGGAUUUUAUGCAUCUAGCACAGGUUGGGAAGGGGUUUAGAUUCACCAAUUCUACUCUCCUUUCACAAGCAACACUUGAAUGGCCUAAGAAUCAUUCAAGGCGUUAAUAACCAUAGGUUGACUAGGACAGAUACCAUGUUCUUGGACUUGUGUGAUUAUCAUAUUCUCAAGGAGCUUAAUGACUCUUGUAUGCUUUAUUCUAAGUAGAUACCAUGCUUAGGUUGCAUAUUAGAGAUCACGUGUUGUGUAGAUACCAUGCAUAAUCACAUGCCUUAGGAGAAUCAUGCAUCCUGCACCUAGAUACCAUAGGCUUGUAUGCGAUGAUCUAUUGUUGAUGAAGCUUGAGUCAAUUUCUAUGCAUUCAUAACUUGGAUAGGAAAACUAGUGGUGGAUUCCAAGGCUCUAACACCUUUCAAUCAUUGUUUCGCAACUUGUUGAUUGCUGCCAGUGUUUACUUUCGAGCACUUUCAUUUCACUUUCUUGUUUUCAUUUCAACAACAAAACCCCCCAUUUCGAGUGCGUGUGUGGUGCUAGGAUUCUGUCCUAGACCUUGAGUAAUUAGCAAGAGGCAUUGUUGAAUUCGACCUUGCCUUUAGCUAGUUAGUCAGUUUCUUCGUUCAUUGUUUUUCUAGCAUUCUAAGUAAUUUAACUUGGAACCAAGUUACCAUUCUCCGUGGGAUCGACCUCGUAUUUACAUAAGCUAUACUAUAAAUGGUUCGUGCACUUGCGAGAAUUAAAGUUGCUGUUUUUAAUAACUCAUUUUAGUUGUUAAGAACUGGCGCAACAUUGGAUUUCACUAAAAACCCACCAAAUGACUCUUCCCACAAUAUUAUGAUGUUCCCCAAGUUUUGGACUCAAUCCGAUAUCGAUUGGUCCUUGAAAUCGGACAAAUCAGGUUCGUAUGAAGUUCGUUCUGAAAUGGGGUGGUUGGUGUAUUGUAUAGUUGUAGAGAUUGGAUUUCACUCAAAACCCAACAAAUGACUCCUCCCGCAAUAUUAUGACGUUCCCCAAGUUUUGGACUCAAUCCGAUAUCGAUUGGUCCUUGAAAUCGGACAAUUCAGGUUCGUACGAAGUUCAUUCUGAAAUGGUGUGGUUGGGGUAUUGUAUAGUUCUAGGGAUUGUAUUUCACUCAGAACCCACCAAAUGACUCCUGCCACAAUAUUAUGAUGUGCCCCAAGUUUUGGACUCAAUCCGAUAUCGAUUGGUCCUUGAAAUCGGACAAUUCAGGUUCGUACGAAGUUCGUUCUGAAAUGGUGUGGUUGGUGUAUUGUAUUGUUCUAGGGAUUCGAUUUCACUCAAAACCAUCAAAUGACAACCCCCACAAUAUUAUGAUGUUCCCCAAGUUUUGGACUCAAUCCGAUAUCGAUUGGUCCUUGAAAUCGGACAAUUCAGGUUCGUACGAAGUUCGUUCUGAAAUGGGGUGGUUGGUGUAUUGUAUAAUUCUAAGGAUUGGAUUUCACUCAAAACCCACCAAUGACUCCUCCCACAAUAUUAUGAUGUUCCCCAAGUUUUAGAUUCAAUCCGAUACCGAUCGGUCCACGAAAUUUGACAAUUCAGGUUCGUACAAAGUUCGUUCUGAAAUGGAGUGGUUGGUGUAUUGUAUUGUUCUAGGGAUUGUAUUUCACUCAAAACCCACCAAAUGACUCCUCCCACAAUAUUAUGAUAUUCCCCAAGUUUUGCACUCAAUCCGAUAUCGAUUGGUCCUUGAGAUCGGACAAUUCAGGUUCGUACGAAGUUCGUUCUGAAAUGGGGUGGUUGGUGUAUUGUAUAGUUCUAGAGAUUGGAUUUCACUCAAAACCCAGCAAAUGACCCCUCCCACAAUAUUAUGAUGUUCCCCAAGUUUUGGACUCAAUCCGAUAUCGAUUGGUCCUUACAAUCAGACAAUUCAGGUUCGUACGAAGUUCGUUCAUAAAUGGCGUGGUUGGUGUAUUGUAUAGUUCUAGGGAUUGGAUUUCACUCAAAACCCAUCAAAUGACAGCUGCCACAAUAUUAUGAUGUUCCCCAAGUUUUGGACUCAAUCCGAUAUCGAUCGGUCCACGAAAUUUGACAAUUCAGGUUCGUACGAAGUUCGUUCUGAAAUGGAGUCGUUCGUGUAUUGUAUAGUUCGAGAGAUUGGAUUUCACUCAAAACCCACCAAAUGACUCCUCCCACAAUAUUAUGAUGUUCCCCAGGUUUUGGACUCAAUCUGAUAUCGAUCGGUCCGCGAAAUUUGACAAUUCAGGUUCGUAUGAAGUUCGUUCUGAAAUGGAGUGGUUGGUGUAUUGUGUAGUUCUAGGGAUUGUAUAUCACUCAAAACCCACCAAAUCACUCCUCCCACAAUAUAAUGAUGUUCCCCAAGUUUCGGACUCAAUCUGAUAUCGAUUGGUCCUUGAAAUCGGACAAUUCAGGUUCGUAUGAAGUUCGUUCUGAAAUGGGGUGGUUGGUGUAUUGUAUAGUUCUAGAGAAUGGAUUUCCCUCAAAACCCAGCAAAUGACUCCUCCCACAAUAUUAUGAUGUUCCCCAAGUUUUGGACUCAAUCCGAUAUCGAUUGGUCCUUGAAAUCGGACAAUUCAUGUUCGUACAAAGUUCGUUCUGAAAUGCGGUGGUUUGUGUAUUGUAUAGUUCUAGAGAUUGGAUUUCACUCAAAACCCAGCAAAUGACUCCUCCCACAAUCUUAUGAUGUUCCCCAAGUUUUGGACUCAAUCCGAUAUCGAUUGGUGCUUGAAAUCGGACAAUUCAGGUUUGUACGAAGUUCGUUCUGAAAUGGUGUGGUUGGUGUAUAGUUCUAGGGAUUGUAUUUCACUCAAAACCCAUCAAAUGACAGCUCCCACAACAUUAUGAUGUUCCCCAAGUUUUGGACUCAAUCCGAUAUCGAUCGGUCCAAGAAAUUUGACAAUUCAGGUUCGUACGAAGUUCGUUCUGAAAUGGAGUGGUUGGUGUAUUGUAUAGUUCCAGAGAUUGGAUUUCACUCAAAACCCACCAAAUGACUACUCCCACAAUAUUCUGAUGUUCCCCAAGUUUUGGACUCAAUUCGAUAUCGAUUGGUCCUUGAAAUCGGACAAUUCAGGUUUCGUACGAAGUUCGUUCGUAAAUGGGGUGGUUGGUGUAUUGUAUAGUUCUAGUGAUUGGAUUUCACUCGAAUCCCACCAAAUGACUCCUCCCACGAUAUUAUGAUGUUCCCCAGGUUUUGGACUCAAUCCGAUAUCGAUUGGUCCUUGAAAUCGGACAAUUCAGGUUCGUACGAAGUUCGUUCUGAAAUGGGAUGGUUGGUGUAUUCUAUAGUUCUAGAGAUUGGAUUUCGCUCAAAACCCACCAAAUGACUCCUCCCACAAUAUUAUUAUGUUCCCCAAGUUUUAGGCUCAAUCCGAUAUCGAUUGGUCCUUGAAAUCGGACAAUUCAGGUUCGUACGAAGUUCGUUCAUAAAUGGGGUGGUUGGUGUAUUGUAUAGUUCUAGAGAUUGGAUUUCACUCAAAACCCCCCAAAUGACUCCUCCCAUAAUGUUAUGUUGUUCCUCAAGUUUUGGACUCAAUCCGAUAUCGAUUAGUCCUUGAAAUCGGCCAAUUCAGGUUUGUACGAAGUUCGUUCUGAAAUGGGGUGGUAGAUGUAUUGUAUAGUUCAAGAGAUUGGAUUUCACUCAAAACCCACCAAAUGAUUCCUCCGCCAAUAUUAUGAUGUUCCCCAAGUUUUGGACUCAAUCCGAUGUCGAUUGGUCGUUGAAAUCGGACAAAUCAGGUUCGUACGAAGUUCGUUCUGAAAUCGGUUGGUUGGUGUAUUGUAUAGUUCUAGGGAUUGGAUUUCACUCAAAACCCACCAAAUGACUCCUCCCACAAUGUUAUGAUGUUCCCCAAGUUUUGGACUAAAUCCGAUAUCGAUUGGGGCUUGAAAUCGAACAAUUCAGGUUCGUACGAAGUUCGUUCCGAAAUGGUGUGGUUGGUGUAUUGUAUAGUUCUAGGGAUUGUGUUUCACUCAAAACCCACCAAAUGACCCCUCCCACAAUAUUAUGAUGUUCCCCAGGUUUCGGACUCAAUCCGAUAUCGAUUGGUGCUUGAAAUCGGACAAUUCAGGUUCGUACGAAGUUCGUUCUAAAAUGGGGUGGUUGGUGUAUUGUAUAGUUCUAGAGAUUGGAUUUCACUCAAAACCCACCAAAUGACUCCUCCCACAAUAUUAUGAUGUUCCCCUAGUAUUGGACUCAAUCCGAUAUUGAUUGGUCCUUGAAAUCGGACAAUUCAGGUUCGUACGAAGUUCGUUCUGAAAAGGGGUGGUUGGUGCAUUGUAAAGUUCUAGAGAUUGGAUUUCACUCAAAACCCAUCAAAUGACAACUCCCACAAUAUUACGAUGUUCCCCAAGUUUUGGACUCAAUCCGACAUCGAUUGGUGCUUGAAAUCGGACAAUUCAGGUUGGUACCAAGUUCGUUCUGAAAUGGGGUGGUUGGUGUAUUGUAUAGUUCUAGAGAUUGGAUUUCACUCAAAACCCUCCAAAUGACUCCUCCCACAAUAUUAUGAUGUUCCCCUAGUAUUGGACUCAAUCCGAUAUUGAUUGGUCCUUGAAAUCGGACAAUUCAGGUUCGUACGAAGUUCGUUCUGAAAAGGGGUGGUUGGUGCAUUGUAAAGUUCUAGAGAUUGGAUUUCACUCAAAACCCAUCAAAUGACAACUCCCACAAUAUUACGAUGUUCCCCAAGUUUUGGACUCAAUCNNNNNNNNNNNNNNNNNNNNNNNNNNNNNNNNNNNNNNNNNNNNNNNNNNNNNNNNNNNNNNNNNNNNNNNNNNNNNNNNNNNNNNNNNNNNNNNNNNNNNNNNNNNNNNNNNNNNNNNNNNNNNNNNNNNNNNNNNNNNNNNNNNNNNNNNNNNNNNNNNNNNNNNNNNNNNNNNNNNNNNNNNNNNNNNNNNNNNNNNNNNNNNNNNNNNNNNNNNNNNNNNNNNNNNNNNNNNNNNNNNNNNNNNNNNNNNNNNNNNNNNNNNNNNNNNNNNNNNNNNNNNNNNNNNNNNNNNNNNNNNNNNNNNNNNNNNNNNNNNNNNNNNNNNNNNNNNNNNCGAUUGGUCCUUGAAAUCGGACACUUCAGUCGUACGAAGUUCGUUCUGAAAUGGGGUGGUUGUGUAUGUAUCGUUCUACAGAUUGGAUUUCACUCAAAACCCACCAAAUGACUCUCCCACAAUAUUAUGAUCUUCCCCAAGUUUUGGACUCAAUCCGACAUCGAUCGGUCCACGAAAUUUGACAAUUCAGGUUCGUACGAAGUUCGUUCUGAAAUGGAGUGGUUGGUGUAUUGUAUUGUUCUAGGGAUUGUAUUUCACUCCAAACCCACCAAAUGACUCCUCCCACAAUAUUAUGAUGUUCCCCAAGCUUUGGACUCAAUCCGAUAUCGAUUGGUGCUUGAAAUCGGACAAUUUCAGGUUCGUACGAAGUUCGUUCUGAAAUGGUGUGGUUGGUGUAUUGUAUAGUUCUAGAGAUUGGAUUUCACUCAAAACCCG